AACGAACGCUGGCGGCAUGCCUAACACAUGCAAGUCGAACGAGACCUUCGGGUCUAGUGGCGUACGGGUGCGUAACGCGUGGGAACCUGCCCUUAGGUUCGGAAUAACUCCCCGAAAGGGGUGCUAAUACCGGAUAAUGUCUUCGGACCAAAGAUUUAUCGCCUUUGGAUGGGCCCGCGUUGGAUUAGCUAGUUGGUAGGGUAAAAGCCUACAAGGCGACGAUCCAUAGCUGGUCUGAGAGGAUGAUCAGCCACACUGGGACUGAGACACGGCCCAGACUCCUACGGGAGGCAGCAGUGGGGAAUAUUGGACAAUGGGCGAAAGCCUGAUCCAGCAAUGCCGCGUGAGUGAUGAAGGCCUUAGGGUUGUAAAGCUCUUUUACCCGGGAUGAUAAUGACAGUACCGGGAGAAUAAGCUCCGGCUAACUCCGUG
This 432-nucleotide ribosomal RNA is filed under the name uncultured bacterium. RNAcentral's name for it is "partial 16S ribosomal RNA". It matches the Rfam family "Bacterial small subunit ribosomal RNA", at positions 29 to 507 of the family's 1533-position model. The record is from RNAcentral.